GGGCCCCUGUGAUGUCCAGCACUGGGCUCUGACCUCCCCUGAGGACACAGUGCCCCCCCAGGGACCUUUGACACCCAGGGGUUCUGAGGGGCCC
Small nucleolar RNA from Nyctereutes procyonoides (raccoon dog), 94 nucleotides. NCBI's taxonomy places the organism in Eukaryota, Metazoa, Chordata, Mammalia, Carnivora, Canidae. The record is from RefSeq and is a predicted model, not a curated record.